This 379-nucleotide unclassified non-coding RNA is filed under the name uncultured bacterium. RNAcentral's name for it is "contains 16S-23S intergenic spacer region". The record is from RNAcentral.
UCCGGCUUAUCACCGGCAGUCCCUCUAGAGUGCCCAACUGAAUGAUGGCAACUAGAAGCGAGGGUUGCGCUCGUUGCGGGACUUAACCCAACAUCUCACGACACGAGCUGACAACGGCCAUGCAGCACCUGUGUUCAGGUUCUCUUUCGAGCACGAAACCAUCUCUGGCAACUUCCUGACAUGUCAAGGGUAGGUAAGGUUUUUCGCGUUGCAUCGAAUUAAACCACAUCAUCCACCGCUUGUGCGGGUCCCCGUCAAUUCCUUUGAGUUUUAGCCUUGCGGCCGUAGUCCCCAGGCGGGGUGCUUAGUGCGUUAGCGACGGCACCGGAGGGGUCGAUACCCCCGACACCUAGCACCCAUCGUUUACAGCGUGGACUAC